RNAcentral lists this ribosomal RNA (465 nucleotides) under Vreelandella stevensii. Its description in RNAcentral is "partial 16S ribosomal RNA". It matches the Rfam family "Bacterial small subunit ribosomal RNA", at positions 338 to 795 of the family's 1533-position model. The record is from RNAcentral. Lineage: Bacteria; Pseudomonadati; Pseudomonadota; Gammaproteobacteria; Oceanospirillales; Halomonadaceae.
CCUACGGGUGGCUGCAGUGGGGAAUAUUGGACAAUGGGCGAAAGCCUGAUCCAGCCAUGCCGCGUGUGUGAAGAAGGCCUUCGGGUUGUAAAGCACUUUCAGUGGGGAAGAAAGCCUUGGGGCUAAUACCCUCGAGGAAGGACAUCACCCACAGAAGAAGCACCGGCUAACUCCGUGCCAGCAGCCGCGGUAAUACGGAGGGUGCGAGCGUAAAUCGGAAUUACUGGGCGUAAAGCGCGCGUAGGCGGUCUGAUAAGCCGGUUGUGAAAGCCCCGGGCUCAACCUGGGAACGGCAUCCGGAACUGUCAGGCUAGAGUGCAGGAGAGGAAGGUAGAAUUCCCGGUGUAGCGGUGAAAUGCGUAGAGAUCGGGAGGAAUACCAGUGGCGAAGGCGGUCUUCUGGACUGACACUGACGCUGAGGUGCGAAAGCGUGGGUAGCAAACAGGAUUAGAUACCCGUGUAGUC